GUACCUAACACAUGCAAGUCGAACGAGAAGCCUGAUUUCGAUUAGGUGGAGAGUGGCGCACGGGUGAGUAACACAUGGCUGACCUGCCCUUCAGAGGGGGACAACGAGCGGAAACGGUGGCUAAUACCCCAUACGCUCGCCGUGAUUAGCAGGCGGUGAGGAAACCUUCGGGGCUGAGGGAGGGGGCUGUGGCCCAUCAGCUAGUUGGUAGGGUAACGGCCUACCAAGGCAAAGACGGGUAGGGGGCCUGAGAGGGUGACCCCCCACACGGGCACUGAGACACGGGCCCGACUUCUACGGAAGGCAGCAGUGAGGGAUAUUGCCCAAUGGACGGAAGUCUGAGGCAGCAACGCCGCGUGCGGGAUGAAGGCCUUCGGGUUGUAAACCGCUUUUCUGCGCGAAGAGGAAGGACGGUAGCGCAGGAAGAAGUCUCGGCUAACUACGUGCCAGCAGCCGCGGUAAAACGUAGGAGGCGAGCGUUAUCCGGAUUUACUGGGUGUAAAGCGCGUGCAGGCGGUCAUGUAAGUGGUGCGUGACAGCGCCCGGCUCAACCGGGCGAGGCCGUGCCAAACUGCGUGACUGGAGGCAGGUAGAGGCGCGUGGAACUCCGGGUGUAGUGGUGAAAUGCGUAGA
Molecule: ribosomal RNA, 633 nt
Filed under: uncultured organism
Description: bacterial SSU rRNA
Rfam family: Bacterial small subunit ribosomal RNA
Source: RNAcentral